CUGAAAGUCACUCACCGUCCUGAGGUCAGAUUCUAAUGUGCUUCUUCUACAUGGACGGAUUUCGUUUACUAAGUCAUAAGCGUCACCAAACCCAGGCAGAGUUUACUGGGUCCUUUCGAAGACUGGUUCGCGAUGUGACGGCUGGGCCGACACAAGUGGCGCCCGGACAGGGACCUGAGUAUCGAGGGAUCCAGGGAAGGACACCGCGGAGAAGAAGAAAACCUCAACGAAAAGGUAAGGAGCGGUGAGUUUUCUUGUAAAUAUUAAAAAUGGGAGCCGGCAGUAGUCGCAUGCUUUUGGUACAUAUGCUCAAAGACUUAUUGCGUGUCGAUGGGGCUAGAGUAGGGCACCAGCAAUUGUGUGAUUUUUAGAAUUUGUAGAAAUAGUUUGUCCUUAGUUUCCUGAGGAGGGCACAGUUAAUCUAAAAACUUGGAGUAAGGUAGGGAAACGAUCACAGGAUUAUUAUGCUGCACACGGACCUAGCAAGGUACCUAUGGAUGCUUUUAGCUUAUGGACUCUCACCCGAGAUAGUUUAGAUCCCAGACACACACACACACACACACACACACACACACACACGAGAGAGAGAGAGAGAGAGAGAGAGAGAGAGAGAGAGGGAGAGAGCCCUCUUUAAUUGCUCUAGUUUCAGGGCCCCUUAAAAGUUAAAAACCUGUUAGGAUCAAUUCUCAACCUCUUUUGUCCCCUGUUCAACUAGGGUUACAACACGCUUUAAAUAUUGGGAAAGCCUUAUCUGGAUUUUGCCUUUGAUGCUCAGGAUACUCAGGGAGACCCUGUUCGACAACUCGCCCCCAUCCCUUUUAAACAAUUAAAAGAAUUAAAAAAUGUUUUGUGCCCAGUAUGGGCCGACUGCCCCUUUUACGUUAGCCAUG
RNAcentral lists this long non-coding RNA (890 nucleotides) under Fukomys damarensis (Damara mole-rat). Its description in RNAcentral is "lncRNA (ENSFDAG00000029478.1)". Lineage: Eukaryota; Metazoa; Chordata; Mammalia; Rodentia; Bathyergidae. The record is from RNAcentral.